AAAGGAUUUAGAGUUUAUAUCUGUUUUUGUGUUACACAACAGCUUUUCAGUCUGAAGUAGUCAUACAAAUAUUUUUGUGUAUUAAAAAAGCUCCUCCGGCAUCGAAGUCUUUAUCUCGUCAAUCGUAGCGUAGCGUUGUCCUUUCAUGGGCCUCUUCAGUUUCGGGAACAAGAAAAGUCACAGGGGGCCAGAUCUGGGGAAUACGGUGGCUGUGGCAUCAUUAGUGUGUUGUUUUCGGCCAAAAAGUCGCGCACAAGCAAGGAUGUGUGAGCAGGGGCCUUAUCGUGAUGGAAGAGCCAAUUUUUGUUCUUCCACAAAUCCGGGCGUUUUUGGAUGCGCAUAACUUGCAGGUCACUGACGCCGAUUGAGAAGCCCCGCUGUGACCUUCCUGGACAUUUUAAAUGAUUAAUAUAAAAAAAAAAA
This is a long non-coding RNA of Anastrepha obliqua, 423 nucleotides long. RefSeq lists it as uncharacterized. NCBI's taxonomy places the organism in Eukaryota, Metazoa, Arthropoda, Insecta, Diptera, Tephritidae. The record is from RefSeq and is a predicted model, not a curated record. The transcript is spliced from 3 exons.